CAAGCCCCUGGGCAUGCACAACUUCCCAGGGAUCCAACCCGGGCCACAGCAAUGAGAACGCAGGAGCCUCAACCCACUGAGCCACACCAGGGGAUUCUGUCUUUUAUCGAAAGAGAUGUAAAACGUUUGUUAUAUGAAAAAAAUUAAUUUGGCAAUCACUAAUCAAUCAUGAACAUUGACCUGUAGCACUGAAUACUUUGCAACGGCAUAUUUUUUUUUUCUUUUUAGGGCCGCACCCGGGGCAUAUGGACGUUCCCAGGCUAGGGAUGGAAUGGGAGCUGCAGCCGCCGGCCCACGUCACAGCUACAGCCACAGCCACGCGGGAUCCCAGCCGCGUCUGGGAACUACACCAGAGCUCACGGCAAUGCCGGAUCCUUAACCCACUGAGCGAAGCCAGGGCUCGAACCUGCAACCUCAUGGUUCCUAGUCUGAUUCAUUUCCAAAGAGCUACGAUAGGAACUCCAGCAUAUUUUUAUCUAUUAUUUAUUAUUAUUUUGUCUUUGCUAGGGCGGUACCCGUGGCAUAUGCAGGUUCCCAGGCUAGGGGUCUAAUCGAAGCUGUUGCCUACGCCAGAGCCACAGCAACGCCAGAUCUGAGUCGCGUCUGUGACCCACAUCAGAGCUCACAGCAAUGCCUUAACCCACUGAGAGAGGCCAGGGAUGAACACGGAACCUCAUGGUUCCUAGUCAGAUUCAUUAACCACUGCGUCACGACGGGAACUCCAGCAUAAUUUUUUUUUUAAUAUUAUUUAAGAGUUCCCCUUGUGGCUCAUCAGUUAAUGAACCCAACUAGUAUCUAUGAGGACGUGGGUUCGAUCCCUGGACUCACUCAAUGGGUUAAGGAUCUGGCAUUGCUGUGAGCCGUGGUGUAGGGUCACAGAUGUGGCUAGGAUCCUGCAUUACUGUGGCUGUGGUGUAGGCCAGCAGCUGCAGCUCUGAUUGGACCCCUAGCCUGGGAACCUCCAUAUGCCACGGGUGUGGCCCUAAAAAGACUAUAUAUACAUAUAUAUGUAUGUGUAUAUAUAUAUAUAUAUAUAUGUAUGAAUAUUUUUUUGAACACAGUACAAGAUGCAAAAGUUACAAAGUAAAAAAAAAGUUACAAAAUCAUCUAAUGAUAAGUAAUACACAUCCCAUUUCCCAAGCCAAUCCCUACCCCCUGUUCCGCGCAGCCUGUUUCAACGGUUCACACUGAUGCUUCAUAAGAAGGUACCACAAUUGAUCCCAAGCCCUAGAUUGUUUGCGAUUUUCCCUGCAAUAAAUAAUUGUAGGAGUUUCCUUUGUGGCUCACAGGUAACAAACUUGCCUAGUAUCCAUGAGGACACAAGUUGGAUCCCUGGCCUUACUCAGUGGUUUAAAGGAUCCAGUGUUGCAGUGAGCUGUGGUGUAAGUAGCAGAUGAGGCUCAGAUCUGGUGUUGCUGUGGCUGUGGUGUAGGCUGGCAGCUAUAGUUCCAAUUCGACCCCUAGCCUGGGAACUUCCAUAUGCCUCGAGUGCGGCCCUAAAAAGAUUAAAAAAAAAAAAGUUUCCUUUUAGGUUUAAGCCUAUGAGUUGAGAGGGACCUGAUUUCACUGCCAAACUUCAGGGGCCAGCUUCUGUCUCUGGGUCCACAAAUGGCUUUAUUUAUUUUUGCUUUUUAGGGGUGCAUUUUCAGCAUAUGGAGUUUCCCAGGCUAGGGGUCUAAUGUGAGCUACAGUUGCCGGGCUAUACCGCAGCCGCAGUAAUGCGGAAUCCAAGCUGAGUCUGUGACGUACACCACAGCUCACAGCAAUGCCAGAUCCUUGAUCCACUGAGUGAGGCCAGGGAUCAAACCUGCAACCUCAUGGUUCCUAGUUGGAUUUGUUUCCACUGUGCCACAAUGGGAACUCCCACACAUGGCUUUACAUAUCCCCUUACUACAGUGUCCUCAUGAUUUCUGUGCUUAUCUGUCCCUGCCAUCAGACUGUGAGCGUCCAGGGGACUGCGUCCUUGACUGACAGAUCUCCAUGUGGCUCCACUCAAUCCUGGUAGGGGAAUUGGUAAAUAAUAAGAGCACACACUUACCAAUGAGCUUCUCUGUGCCAGGAAUCGUGUUAGGCACACUAUGUGCACUGGCUGCACCUGAGGCUUGAGGAAGUUUCCAGGCCAGGUACAGAACCCCCAUCACUACAGCAACCCAAGUCACUGCAGUGACAACACCAGGUCCUUAACCCAGUGUGCCACAAGAGAACUCUGCUCCCCUCUUUUACAGGGGAGAAAAAUAGGCUCAGAGAAGCAAGGUAAUAAAACUUAAUGUUUGCUGAGCACGAACUCUAUGUGUCAGGCAGUGAUCUUGCUUCAUGAAUCCUCAUGAUAAGCCUAUGCAGUAUGUGCUCUUAUUCUCCCCUUUCUACAGAGCAAGAAGAGAGGUUAAAUUAGUUGCCGUAAAUCACACAGCUAAUUAGACAAGUCCAAUGUCAAAUUACUAGCCACUGUGCCAUGCAGCUUAUACUCAUUCAUUCAUUUAACAAGUUUGACGGAGCUGCUCUCUGACAUUAUGCUACACAUUUGGUAUAAAUCAGCAAACUGAUCAAAUUCUCUGCCCUGAACUUCCUCAAUUUGAUAAAGAGCAUUGAUAAAAAUACCUACAAGUUGGAGUUCCCAUCAUGGCGCAGCAGAAGUGAAUCCGACUAAGAACCAUGAGGUUUAUGGGUUCGAUCCCUUGUCUUGCUCAGCGGGUUAAGAAUCAGGUGUUGCUGUGAGCUGUGGUGUGGGUGGAAGAUGCAGCUUGGAUCUGGCGUUGCUGUGGCUCUGGUAUAGGCCGGCAGCAACAGCUCCGAUUGGACCCCUAGCCUGGGAACCUCCAGGUGCCGUGGGUGCAGCCCUAAAAAAGACAAGGAAAAAAAAAAAAACUACAAUUAGUAUUAUUUUUUUUUUCCCCAUGGCUGCCCCUGUGGCUUAUGGAAGUUCCCAGCAGCUGCUAGCCUACCCCAUAGCUACGGCAACACCAGAUCUGAGCUACAUCUGUGACUUAACAUCAUAGCUUGCAGCAAUGCCAGAUCCUUAACCAACUGAUCGAGGCCAGGGCUCAAACCGGAGUCCUCAUGGAUACUAGUCGGGUUCGUUAUUGUGGAGCCAUGACAGGAAUUCCCCUAGCAUCAUUCUUAGUUGUGAAAUAUUUACUGCUUUUCCCUUAAGAUUAGAAACAAAUUAAGGACUUCUACUCCCAUUACUUCUAAUCAAAAUUAUAUUGGAGAUCCUAGCUAGUGUACUAAGGCAGGAAAAUAAAUAAAGGGCACAGGAGUUCCCACUGAAGCUCAACAGCUUAUGAACCUGACUAGUACCAUGAGGAUGUAGGUUCAAUCCCUGGCCUUGCUCAGUGGGUUAAGGAUCUGGCGAAGUCAUGAGCUGUGGUGUAGGCCGGCAGCUGCAGCUCCUAUUUGACUGAGCCCUAGCCUGGAAACCUCCAUAUGCUGCAGGUGCAGCCCUAAAAAGACAAAAAGAAGAAAGGGCAUAAAUAUCUGAUGGAAGAAGUAAAACUGUCAAUAUUUGCACAUAAUAUGAUUGCUUAUAUAGAAAUUCUAAGGAAUUGAAAUAACCACUAAAACUAAUAAAUGAAUUUAAGCAAGCUGUGAUAAUUACUUUUUUUUUUUUUUUGUCUUUUGUCUUUUUGUUGUUGUUGUUGUUGCUAUUUCUUGGGCCGCUCCCUUGGCAUAUGGAGGUUCCCAGGCUAGGGGUUGAAUCGGAGCUGUAGCCACCGGCCUACGCCAGAGCCACAGCAACGCGGGAUCCGAGCCGCGUCUGCAACCUACACCACAGCUCACGGCAACGCCGGAUGGUUAACCCACUGAGCAAGGGCAGGGACCGAACCCGUAACCUCAUGGUUCCUAGUCGGAUUCGUUAACCACUGCGCCACGACGGGAACUCCUAAUUACAUUUUCUGAUGGAGUUCCCGUUGUGGUGCAGUGGAAGCAAAUCCGACUAGGAACCAUGAGGUUGUGGGCUCGAUCCCUGGCCUUGCUCAGGGCUUAAGGAUCUGGCAUUGCCAUGAGCUGUGGUGUAGGUCGCAGACGUGGCUGGGAUCUGGCGUUGCUGUGACUGUGGUGUAGGCUGGUAGCUGUAGCUCUGAUUGGACCCCUAGCCUGGGAACUCCAUGUGCUGUGGGUGCCGCCCCCCAAAAAAAAAUUUAUAUUUUCUGAGAUGUUCUAGCAUGAGUGGAGAUCUUAUGAAUCCAGAAAAGCGGCUCUCUGUUCACCAUAACCCCGACCAGAGCAGGAUAUUGAUAAUCUUGAUCCUCCAAUGUCACCCCAUUUAGCUUCUGGGUCCACAGGGAGCCAUAUCAGAUUUAUACAGGGAACAGACAAUGUUCAACUUACCUGUUAAGGAA
RNAcentral lists this long non-coding RNA (4340 nucleotides) under Sus scrofa (pig). Its description in RNAcentral is "lncRNA (ENSSSCG00035058465.1)". The record is from RNAcentral. Lineage: Eukaryota; Metazoa; Chordata; Mammalia; Artiodactyla; Suidae.